AUGCCGUCCUUGACCAAUCUCAUCAUACUAGUACCACUUCUCUUCCUUGCCACCCUCUCUCCUACACCUUCACUGUGCUAUAUCAGUCCAGCUGCCACAAGGGUACAACAGGGUUCUACAGGAACCUCUGAUUACCGCACUUACAUCGUGCUCGUCGAUCCACCUCCCUCAAGUGCCGGCGAAGUCGGGCAUCGUCGGUGGUAUGAGACUUUCUUACCGAGCUCUCACAUCGGCGAAUCUGGAGAGCCGCGUCUCCUCCACACCUACACCGAAGUGUUCAGCGGCUUCACGGCGAGGCUCACUGAUGCCGAGCUCGACGAGAUGGCCAAGAAGCCAGGGUUCGUGCGCGCGUUCCCAGACCGGAUGCUGCAACUCAUGACCACGCACACGCCGGAGUUCCUCGGGCUGAGGAGUGGCACCGGGUUUUGGAGCGACACACGCUACGGGAAGGGAGUGAUCGUCGGGCUCCUCGACUCCGGAAUCUAUGCAGCACACCCUUCGUUCGACGAUCAUGGCAUCCCACCACCCCCGACAAAGUGGAAAGGCUCGUGCAGGGAGGUCAGGUGCAACAACAAGCUCAUCGGUGCCAAAUCAUUCAUUGCCGGUGAUGACCGCCCAUUUGAUUUUGCGGGGCACGGAACACACACCUCAUCCACUGCCGCUGGGAACUUUGUUACCAAUGCGUCCUACCAUGGCGUAGGCAUGGGCACUGCUUCCGGAAUUGCUCCAGGUGCCCACAUCGCCAUGUACAAAGUGUGCACUGGGAUUGGCUGUGAAGAAUCUGCCAUAGUGGCUGGCCUGGACGCGGCCAUCAAGGAUGGGGUGGACGUGCUCUCGCUGUCCCUCGGCGGUCCCACCAGUGUGAGCUUCGACAAGGAUCCCAUCGCCAUCGGCGCGUUCAGCGCGAUAUCCAAGGGUAUCAUUGUGGUGUGCGCGGCUGGCAACCAUGGUCCCACUCCACGGUCGGUCAUCAACGACGCACCGUGGUUGCUCACGGUCGCUGCCGGCUCGGUGGAUCGGAGAUUCGACGCUGGUGUUCAUCUCGGCAAUGGGUUGCGCUUAAAUGGAGAAGCGCUUACCCAGGUGAAAAUGCCAACCUCAAAGUCGUAUCCUCUCCUCUACUCCGAGGAAAAUCGUUUCUGCGGGAACCAGGAUCACGUUCCCAUCACCGGGAAAAUCGUGGUAUGCCAAGCCAUGACACCGAUGCCUCAGUAUUCAACCAUUCGCAGCAUAAUGGAUGCUGGAGCGGCCGGCGUGGUACUGUUCAAUGAUGAAGCCGAUGGCUACUCCAUUCUUCUUCAGGAUUACUACUCGAGAGUGGUGCAGGUGGCCACAGCUGAUGGCAUUGCUAUCACAGGUUAUGCGAAGUCGGCAGCGAGCAAAGCCGUGGCCACUUUCACAUACAACAACACAAUGAUUGGUGUUCAUCCAAACCCGAUCGUGGCGUCGUUCUCUUCACGGGGUCCAAGCCCUAUCUCCCCGGGCGUGCUCAAGCCGGACAUUCUGGCUCCCGGGCUCAACAUCCUCGCCGCAUGGCUGCAAGAACCAAAAUCUGCAUCGAGGCCUUUCAAUAUCAUAUCAGGUACAUCCAUGGCAACACCACAUCUCAGCGGUGUCGCGGCGCUCAUCAAAAGCUUGCAUCUCGACUGGUCACCGGCUGCCAUCAAGUCGGCCAUCCUGACAACGUCGGACACCUUCAACAACAUCGGUGGCCCGAUAUUGAAUGAGAGGCAUGGUAAAGCCGGUGCGUACGAUAGAGGCGCCGGCCAUGUGAACCCGGCGAGAGCCGCCGAUCCUGGUCUGGUGUACGAUCUCGGCCUUGACCUGUGA
RNAcentral lists this ribosomal RNA (1830 nucleotides) under Triticum aestivum (bread wheat). RNAcentral describes it as "partial small subunit ribosomal RNA". The record is from RNAcentral. Lineage: Eukaryota; Viridiplantae; Streptophyta; Magnoliopsida; Poales; Poaceae.